This 214-nucleotide long non-coding RNA is filed under the name Homo sapiens (human). RNAcentral describes it as "non-protein coding lnc-UGGT1-5:1". Lineage: Eukaryota; Metazoa; Chordata; Mammalia; Primates; Hominidae. The record is from RNAcentral.
UGCAGAUGAGAGCAGCAAUUAACCAAAAGUCAAUAGAAACUGCUGAAAGAAAACACCUCAAAGAGUUGCUGAGAGCUAAAUUAGCUGAAUGUGGCUGGAAUUGUAAAAGUAAUCAGAAAGAAAGGACUGGAGCACAUUACUGUUGAUGACUUGGUGGUUGAAAUUACUCCAAAAGGCAGAGCCCUGGUACCUGACAGUGUAAAGAAGGAGCUCC